CGCUAGCGGCAGGCUUAACACAUGCAAGUCGAGGGGUAACAGGAGGUGCUUGCACUUCGCUGACGACCGGCGCACGGGUGCGUAACGCGUAUACAAUCUACCUUUUGCUGAGGGAUAGCCCAGAGAAAUUUGGAUUAAUACCUCAUGGUAUGUAGUAAUGGCAUCAUUAUUAUAUUAAAGGUUACGGCAAAAGAUGAGUAUGCGUUCUAUUAGCUAGAUGGUAAGGUAACGGCUUACCAUGGCGACGAUAGAUAGGGGCCCUGAGAGGGGGAUCCCCCACACUGGUACUGAGACACGGACCAGACUCCUACGGGAGGCAGCAGUGAGGAAUAUUGGACAAUGGGCGCAAGCCUGAUCCAGCCAUGCCGCGUGCAGGAAGACUGCCCUAUGGGUUGUAAACUGCUUUUAUACAGGAAGAAACACUCCCUCGUGAGGGAGCUUGACGGUACUGUAAGAAUAAGGAUCGGCUAACUCCGUGCCAGCAGCCGCGGUAAUACGGAGGAUCCAAGCGUUAUCCGGAAUCAUUGGGUUUAAAGGGUCCGUAGGUGGAUAAUUAAGUCAGAGGUGAAAUCCUGCAGCUCAACUGUAGAAUUGCCUUUGAUACUGGUUAUCUUGAAUUAUUAUGAAGUAGUUAGAAUAUGUAGUGUAGCGGUGAAAUGCAUAGAUAUUACAUAGAAUACCAAUUGCGAAGGCAGAUUACUAAUAAUAUAUUGACACUGAUGGGACGAAAGCGUGGGGAGCGAACAGGAUUAGAUACCCUGGUAGUCCACGCCGUAAACGAUG
RNAcentral lists this ribosomal RNA (783 nucleotides) under uncultured Bacteroidota bacterium. RNAcentral's name for it is "bacterial SSU rRNA". It matches the Rfam family "Bacterial small subunit ribosomal RNA", at positions 34 to 811 of the family's 1533-position model. Lineage: Bacteria; Pseudomonadati; Bacteroidota. The record is from RNAcentral.